Molecule: long non-coding RNA, 359 nt
Organism: Myxocyprinus asiaticus (Chinese sucker)
Lineage: Eukaryota; Metazoa; Chordata; Actinopteri; Cypriniformes; Catostomidae
Exons: 3
Source: RefSeq, a predicted model, not a curated record
GGAAAACUCUGCAAAAAACGCUUGAGGGGUGACAUGAUGUUCUGGGUACACGCGCGAAUACGCUGUUGACAGCGAAACCGCUGGAGUCGGGACAGGAAGCUUUUACUUGGAGAGUACUGUGGAGUCCAAGAACUGAUAUGGACUGGAGAGAAUGGCUGGGGUAGUACGGGUGAGAGACGGCGGAAAUAAAAAGGGGCCAGACUUCAGAGUGAGAGAGGGAGAACCCAGCUGACAACAUUCGUGUGUGCUGGCCACUGCCUUUUCAAUGAUCAACCUGUUGAGUGAUUUGUCUGAACCUACACCAUUGUGCACUCAAGCGAACAUGUUUUUGUUAAUAAUAAAUGUACCUUUGUGUUGGA